CAUAUCAAUAAGCGGAGGAAAAGAAACCAACAGGGAUUGCCCUAGUAACGGCGAGUGAAGCGGCAACAGCUCAAAUUUGAAAUCUGGCUUCGGCCCGAGUUGUAAUUUGUAGAGGAAACUUUUGGUGAGGCACCUUCUGAGUCCCUUGGAACAGGGCGCCAUAGAGGGUGAGAGCCCCGUAUAGUCGGAUGCCGAUCCAAUGUAAAGUUCCUUCGACGAGUCGAGUAGUUUGGGAAUGCUGCUCAAAAUGGGAGGUAAAUUUCUUCUAAAGCUAAAUAUAGGCCAGAGACCGAUAGCGCACAAGUAGAGUGAUCGAAAGAUGAAAAGCACUUUGAAAAGAGGGUUAAAUAGCACGUGAAAUUGUUGAAAGGGAAGCGUUUGUGACCAGACUUGCGCCGUUCCGAUCAUCCGGUGUUCUCACCGGUGCACUCGGGGCGGCUCAGGCCAGCAUCGGUUUUGGUGGGGGGAUAAAGGUCCAGGGAACGUAGCUCCUCCGGGAGUGUUAUAGCCCUGGGCGUAAUGCCCUCGCUGGGACCGAGGUUCGCGCAUCUGCAAGGAUGCUGGCGUAAUGGUCAUCAACGACCCGUCUUGAAACACGGACCAAGGAGUCAAGGUUUUGCGCGAGUGUUUGGGUGUAAAACCCGCACGCGUAAUGAAAGUGAACGUAGGUGAGAGCUUCGGCGCAUCAUCGACCGAUCCUGAUGUAUUCGGAUGGAUUUGAGUAAGAGCGUUAAGCCUUGGACCCGAAAGAUGGUGAACUAUGCUUGGAUAGGGUGAAGCCAGAGGAAACUCUGGUGGAGGCUCGCAGCGGUUCUGACGUGCAAAUCGAUCGUCAAAUCUGAGCAUGGGGGCGAAAGACUAAUC
Molecule: ribosomal RNA, 864 nt
Filed under: Sordaria macrospora
Lineage: Eukaryota; Fungi; Ascomycota; Sordariomycetes; Sordariales; Sordariaceae
Description: LSU rRNA
Rfam family: Eukaryotic large subunit ribosomal RNA
Source: RNAcentral